GAUGAACGCUGGCGGCGUGCCUAAUACAUGCAAGUCGAGCGAACAGACGAGGAGCUUGCUCCUCUGACGUUAGCGGCGGACGGGUGUGUAACACGUGGAUAACCUACUUAUAAGACUGGGAUAACUUCGGGAAACCGGAGCUAAUACCGGAUAAUAUAUUGAACCGCAUGGUUCAAUAGUGAAAGACGGUUUUGCUGUCACUUAUAGAUGGAUCCGCGCCGCAUUAGCUAGUUGGUAAGGUAACGGCUUACCAAGGCAACGAUGCGUAGCCGACCUGAGAGGGUGAUCGGCCACACUGGAACUGAGACACGGUCCAGACUCCUACGGGAGGCAGCAGUAGGGAAUCUUCCGCAAUGGGCGAAAGCUUGACGGAGCAACGCCGCGUGAGUGAUGAAGGUCUUCGGAUCGUAAAACUCUGUUAUUAGGGAAGAACAAAUGUGUAAGUAACUAUGCACGUCUUGACGGUACCUAAUCAGAAAGCCACGGCUAACUACGUG
This 497-nucleotide ribosomal RNA is filed under the name uncultured bacterium. Its description in RNAcentral is "partial 16S ribosomal RNA". It matches the Rfam family "Bacterial small subunit ribosomal RNA", at positions 28 to 507 of the family's 1533-position model. The record is from RNAcentral.